RNAcentral lists this long non-coding RNA (1155 nucleotides) under Erythranthe guttata (spotted monkey flower). RNAcentral's name for it is "long non-coding RNA (EGUT_LNC000033)". The record is from RNAcentral. Lineage: Eukaryota; Viridiplantae; Streptophyta; Magnoliopsida; Lamiales; Phrymaceae.
CCAAUUAAAAUUAACGGUGAAUUAAACUGCUAAUAAAAAUUAUAUUACAAAAAAUAUGAUAGUAUACAAAAAUUCAGAUGAAAAAAAGAGAACAAAAGUUGGGGUAGGAGAGAGAGACAAUACAAAGGUUGUUUUGUUUGCACAUUAAAUCAGACACACUAUCUCAGGUAUACGGUUUAUUCUAUGCUACACCCGGUGAACUUCACCGGGUAUUUAAGAUUUUGACAUGUGGCAUUUAAUAAUAUAAAUAGUUAAUUAUAUAAAAUUUAAUUGUUAGCGAAAAAAUUAAAUCAAUAAAAUCGCUUUAAUAUAGUUAAUAAGAUUUUCUCUCUCCAAUUAUUUCUUUGUUAUCAAUUACCUCUCCAUUUUUCGAUUCAGGAAAAAAAAAUUUACUCCUCCAUUAACUGUGUUCUACCAUUACUGCACUUCUUCACUAUUUUAAUUUUUAUUAAGUUCUUUCACGAUAAAUUGCACUGGAAAAUAAGAUAUUGGCUCUUAUUUGUGAAAUCUGACUUUGAUAAAUUUCUACUUCCGAGUCAAAUAUUGGUAUGCUUGUAGAUCACUCAAAAAUAAAAAAUGAAAAAUAAAAACAGACAUUAAUUUAUCCAAAAAUGGUUUUCCACUUAUGCUUAUGUUAAUUUAAUUGUAAAGUUUGCAUUAUCAGUAUCAUUUUAAUUUCUUCAUUUGGGUGGGAAGCCACUGUUACAUAAUCUAAACAAAUAAUGGAGAAAUGCAUUAUAAUGGUGGAAGAUGGUUAACGAAUGUGUAAUUGAAGAAUAAGGAAAGAAUUGUAGAGAGAAAAUCAUAAUUGCCUAUAAUAAAGUGAUUCUAUUAAUUUAUUUAUCUUCCUAUAAUUAAAGUUACAUAAUUAACUACUUAAUUAUUAAAUACCACAUGUCAAAAUCUCAAGACAUUCGGUGAAGUUCACCGGGUGUAGCAUAGAAUAGACCCAGGUAUACAUACAACAUACAUACACUGAAAGGCUACAAAGCUAACUUCAUCUUCUUCUCUUUUUUCUUUUCCUGGUUUUUUUUUUUCAUAAUAAUGUACUAGUAGUAGUUUUUCUUGUCAAGGUUCUUGGGAGUUGACACGGCUAUGGAGUUCUAACAUCUCUUGGUGAUUCGGAUCAACCGACAAUGCGGCCCUACAAUCACG